UCACUUGCAAAUCAGUUAAAAACCUUUUCGUUACCUCUCUUGUAUGGGCAGAAAACUUCAGGCUGAUGUUGUAGAGAAAUUGCUCCUUUCCUAAGAGCUCAAAGCAACUGCAAAACAAGCUUAAGUAUUUCCCAGCCUUUUCCUAGACCUAUCUGUGAUAAGCCCUAAUCAUCACACAGCUGGUGCAAGAGUCCCCAGAUCACAUUUCAUUAGCAACUGAGUGAGUUCAGCCUUAUAUAUGUUGUGUCAUGAUGAAGCUAUAAAUCUUAUUGCUCCAUCAAAUCCACCUACAGCAGGCAAGGACUGAAAAUAAUUUUUUGUAUAUCUGAACAGUGGAGGCUGGCGUUUUGUAGUGACAUGACUUACAGCUCCACUGAUCUGCUGUAUCUUUCAUUCUCCUCAUCAAUUAAAAUCUUGACCUGUCUAGCUCAGACACUUAAGCACUGCAAAAUGAGAAAAUGCCAAAAUCAUAAAUCAUUUUAGAUCUACUGUUUCUCAGCAUAAUUCGAAAAUAUAUGGUAACAGCAUUAGCUGCAGAUGAGGAGGCACAUUUUGGUUGGGGAUUCAGCUGACAGCAAAGGAAGGGUCAGUAGAGGAGUGUACUGCAGUUGCUAGAUCUUCAUAGCCUGCCACUAUUGUCUGUUUUCUUCUGCUGUUUCACUUUUCUUUCCUCUGACAUUUCUGGACUAGCUCCUGCUCCUUUCACUUUUUUUUUCCCCUUCCCUGUUUUCUCCUUUCCAUCCAGUCACAUUUACUUCUUUUUCCCACCUGGUUCACACAGAAGGCA
Molecule: long non-coding RNA, 787 nt
Organism: Passer domesticus (house sparrow)
Lineage: Eukaryota; Metazoa; Chordata; Aves; Passeriformes; Passeridae
Exons: 4
Source: RefSeq, a predicted model, not a curated record